UGAAUUGUCUUUCAUCACCUCUGCCACAGGGUCCUAUCCCAUUUGCCUACAUCUCUCUCCCAUCCUUGGCUCUAAGCUCCAGGAGGACGGAAGCUCGUCUUGCCUCUGACUGCCAGCAGGUUUCCAGGGCCUGUGGACAGCUCUCAGGGGUUUUUGGAAUAGAUGAAGUCGCUGGACAAAUGGGGAGCCUCCAAGGAAGUGCAGGUCACUCUGUCACGUUUCCGAGCGUUCCACUUUGAUCCAUCCACGCUCGGCAGCCAGGUCUGCGGGAGGACAGCCCAUUCGGUGGCUUUGGGGCAUGCAAUUACUCUUCACAAGGCUGGUAAUAAGCAACACUGCCAAUUUCAUCCUCGGAGGCUUUCAGUUCCCCAUUCUCCAGGCUCUGCGCUUCUUUCCAGGCUCGCUUCCCCAUCCCCAGUGCACACAGGGCCCUCAGCCUCAACUGGCUUCUCAGAACCCGGGCGCUCUGUCUCCAGCUCUUUGACUAACUAGCUGUGCUACCCUGGGCACAUCACUUUCCCUCUCUGAGCCUCAUUUUCCUUCCUUGUCAAAUGAGAUAGGUUGGGAAACGACAGUCUAUCAUUGAAUCAAAGCCCAGGAGACAAACAGUGCCUGGCCAGUUAGGGGGACUAAGGAAGCUGGUUUAAUGCAGAGUGGAGGCCUGGAGGAGUGAGGGAACAUGGAACACGCUAUCUGAAACCCACUCCAAUCUCUCUCCCAUCUCCAGGCUUGUCGAUCUUCUAAAUGUCUGUUUUUUCUAGAGGAUAAUACAUCAUUUCCUGGAUAGGGCUGUUGUAAAUCAGAAAGGAUAACGUAUGGGACAGAGCUCCAGAAGCUGUGACACUCUAUGGUCAUGAUGCUCUCUCUAAAGCCAGCCGCACAUAGCGAUGGGGACGUCCAAGGCCCUGAAUCACCACUCACCAGGAGCAUUCCACGAACCCACUUCCCCAAGGUGUUUGCAGGAGUUACAGGGUGAGGGGCGGGGAAAGCCAGGUUCUGUGGUCAAAUCAGCUUAAGAAACGAUGGGAUGACGACGUUUAUGAGGUUUCCCUACGGAGGAGGCUGCUGCUGUAACUGGUACCAUGCCCCGCGGGUCUGAAGAGGGGAACAGACAUCUGCGAGGUUUCUCAACCCCUUUUGGCCACAGAGCCCUUUUGUGUCACAGAGCAUCAGAGGAGCAUAUUUUGGGAAAUGCCACCUUAAACCAGAGGCGCAGCAUCUCAGGGGAGGAUCCUGGGCAGGAGUGAGGCGCUUUCAGCACGUUUCCAUCCCCCCAGCCCUUCGGGAAGACAGAAGUGUGGACGCUGAGGGACAGGCCGUGCAAUGCUGAGGGGGUUACGACUUGGAGUCAGGACUCCUGGGUUGCAACCCAGCUCUGCCACCAGCUCCCUGUGUGGCCCUGGGCCAUUCUUCAGGGCUCCGUUUGCUCAUGUGUAAAAUGCAGGACAGACAGCAGGAGCAUCGGGACCAGUCAGAUACACCAGGAUCACUGCAACACAGUGUUCGCUGAGGGAAAGAAAGGGAAGAACAAGGCAGCAUGCACACGUGAUGUCACAGAGAAACACAGCAGAGCCGGCUCCCAGAUAAUCGAUUCAGGAGCAGGUCAUCUGGAACUCAAGGUUCCC
Molecule: long non-coding RNA, 1625 nt
Filed under: Equus caballus (horse)
Lineage: Eukaryota; Metazoa; Chordata; Mammalia; Perissodactyla; Equidae
Description: lncRNA (ENSECAG00000054785.1)
Source: RNAcentral